This 610-nucleotide ribosomal RNA is filed under the name Pseudomonas sp. INT27-44. RNAcentral describes it as "bacterial SSU rRNA". It matches the Rfam family "Bacterial small subunit ribosomal RNA", at positions 52 to 656 of the family's 1533-position model. Lineage: Bacteria; Pseudomonadati; Pseudomonadota; Gammaproteobacteria; Pseudomonadales; Pseudomonadaceae. The record is from RNAcentral.
UACCAUGCAGUCGAGCGGAUGACGGGAGCUUGCUCCUUGAUUCAGCGGCGGACGGGUGAGUAACGCCUAGGAAUCUGCCUGGUAGUGGGGGACAACGUUUCGAAAGGAACGCUAAUACCGCAUACGUCCUACGGGAGAAAGCAGGGGACCUUCGGGCCUUGCGCUAUCAGAUGAGCCUAGGUCGGAUUAGCUAGUUGGUGAGGUAAUGGCUCACCAAGGCGACGAUCCGUAACUGGUCUGAGAGGAUGAUCAGUCACACUGGAACUGAGACACGGUCCAGACUCCUACGGGAGGCAGCAGUGGGGAAUAUUGGACAAUGGGCGAAAGCCUGAUCCAGCCAUGCCGCGUGUGUGAAGAAGGUCUUCGGAUUGUAAAGCACUUUAAGUUGGGAGGAAGGGCAGUAAGUUAAUACCUUGCUGUUUUGACGUUACCGACAGAAUAAGCACCGGCUAACUCUGUGCCAGCAGCCGCGGUAAUACAGAGGGUGCAAGCGUUAAUCGGAAUUACUGGGCGUAAAGCGCGCGUAGGUGGUUUGUUAAGUUGAGAUGUGAAAGCCCCGGGCUCAACCUGGGAACUGCAUCCAAAACUGGCAAGCUAGAGUACGGUAGAG